This 497-nucleotide long non-coding RNA is filed under the name Ictidomys tridecemlineatus (thirteen-lined ground squirrel). Its description in RNAcentral is "lncRNA (ENSSTOG00000033211.1)". The record is from RNAcentral. Lineage: Eukaryota; Metazoa; Chordata; Mammalia; Rodentia; Sciuridae.
GAAGCAUUUACAUUUUGACCUGCAGGAUCCCUGUGGACUGCAGAGUUGAGCCCUGCCAUCCAGACUGCCUUUCUGCUUCAUUUUGCUCCUGACCUAAACCCCCCUGCUAUUCCAGGCCUGGCCUCUCAUGACCAGAGACUGCUGACUCAUCCUGGCCUGUGCCAAGCUGUGCAGUCGCUUAGUGAUGUGGACAGGAGUCGAAGGACUAGAAUGAGAUCACUGAACUCAUUUCACUUGUUGCUUACGGUACAGUCCAGCAUGAGCUGGAAAUGUAGGAACCUCAGCCUCCCGAGCAGAAAGAUGUUUACUAGAUGCUGCUUUGGACAUGACUCCAGGAGACCAAUAUGGAAAGAGUCAAAGUUAAACAUGUUUCUCCUUGGAUUUAAAUGAAAAUCUCAUGUUCAUCCCUCCAUGUGAACAAUCAACUUUGUCUCAAGUGGAUACUACAAAAUUGGAUACUUCAGUUCAACCUUCUUCAGGUAUUAUACCUCUGAUUU